Molecule: ribosomal RNA, 253 nt
Filed under: uncultured bacterium
Lineage: Bacteria
Description: partial 16S ribosomal RNA
Rfam family: Bacterial small subunit ribosomal RNA
Source: RNAcentral
UACGUAAGGGGCAAGCGUUGUCCGGAAUUAUUGGGCGUAAAGAGCGUGUAGGCGGCCAGAUAAGUCCGCUGUGAAAUCUCGAGGCUCAACUUCGAGCUGUCGGUGGAAACUAUCUGGCUAGAGUCCGGAAGAGGAGAAUGGAAUUCCUGGUGUAGCGGUGAAAUGCGCAGAUAUCAGGGAGAACACCCGUGGCGAAGGCGGUUCUCUGGGACGGUACUGACGCUGAGACGCGAAAGCGUGGGGAGCAAACAGG